UAAAGUUUGGUGAAAAAGUAUCCAGUGCCC
RNAcentral lists this non-coding RNA (30 nucleotides) under Mus musculus (house mouse). The record is from RNAcentral. Lineage: Eukaryota; Metazoa; Chordata; Mammalia; Rodentia; Muridae.